GUCUUUUUGCUGUGUCCUCACAUGCUGGAAGGGAUGAACCUGUUCUCCGGGAUCUCUUUCAGAUGGGCACUAGUCCCAAUCAUGAGGGCUUUGCUCUCAUGACCUAAUCACUUCCCAGAGGCCCUACCUGCUAAUACUAUCACAUUGGGGACUAAGAUUUCAAUAUAUGAAUUUUGUGGGGACACAAACAUUCAGCACAGCAACAGACAGAGAGAAGAUGACCAUGUGAUGAAGAAGGCAGAGAUUGGAGUGAUACAUCUACAAACUAAGGACCCAGAGAGAAGAUGACUGUCUGCAAACCAGAAAGAGCGGCUUCGCCAGAAACCAACUCUACUGGACCUUGAUCUGGGGCCUCUAGCCUCCAGAACAGUGAGAAAAAAAAAUUACUGUUGUUUAAGCCACUCAAUCUAUGGUAUUUUUGUUAGGGCAGCCUGAGCCGACUAAUACAAUAAGGUAGGUAAUCAAGG
RNAcentral lists this long non-coding RNA (467 nucleotides) under Homo sapiens (human). RNAcentral's name for it is "HSALNT0343102". The record is from RNAcentral. Lineage: Eukaryota; Metazoa; Chordata; Mammalia; Primates; Hominidae.